This 440-nucleotide ribosomal RNA is filed under the name uncultured bacterium. RNAcentral describes it as "partial 16S ribosomal RNA". It matches the Rfam family "Bacterial small subunit ribosomal RNA", at positions 338 to 795 of the family's 1533-position model. The record is from RNAcentral.
ACUACGGGUGGCAGCAGUGGGGAAUAUUGCACAAUGGGGGAAACCCUGAUGCAGCGACGCCGCGUGAGUGCAGAAGUAAUUCGUUAUGUAAAGCUCUAUCAGCAGGGAAGAAAAUGACGGUACCUGAGUAAGAAGCCCUGGCUAACUACGUGCCAGCAGCCGCGGUAAUACGUAGGGGGCAAGCGUUAGCCGGAUUUACGGGGUGUAAAGGGAGCGUAGACGGCAGUGCAAGUCAGGAGUGAAAGGCGGGGGCUCAACCCGCGAACUGCACGUGAAACUGGACGGCUGGAGUGCAGGAGAGGUAAGUGGAAUUCCUGGUGGAGCGGUGAAAUGCGUAGAUAUUAGGAGGAACACCAGUGGCGAAGGCGGCUUACUGGACUGUAACUGACGUUGAGGCUCGAAAGCGUGGGGAGCAAACAGGAUUAGAUACCCUAGUAGUC